This is a non-coding RNA of Mycena capillaripes, 89 nucleotides long. Lineage: Eukaryota; Fungi; Basidiomycota; Agaricomycetes; Agaricales; Mycenaceae. The record is from the annotation of a GenBank genome assembly.
GGCUCAGUGGUGGAUGGUCCACAUCUGCAUUACUUACAGUUUCGUAGAUUUGUAAGCAGGUGCAGCCUGUUCGAUUCGGGCCUGAGCCA